CCUACGGGAGGCUGCAGUGAGGAAUAUUGGUCAAUGGGCGGAAGCCUGUACCAGCCAAGUAGCGUGCAGGAUGACGGCCCUACGGGUUGUAAACUGCUUUUAUACGGGAAUAACGCGCCUUACGUGUAGGGCUUUGCAUGUACCGUAUGAAUAAGGACCGGCUAAUUCCGUGCCAGCAGCCGCGGUAAUACGGAAGGUCCGGGCGUUAUCCGGAUUUAUUGGGUUUAAAGGGAGCGUAGGCCGCAUGUCAAGCGUGCUGUGAAAUGUCCGGGCUCAACCCGGGCCUUGCAGCGCGAACUGGCGUGCUUGAGUCCGCGGAAAGCAGGCGGAAUUCGUCGUGUAGCGGUGAAAUGCUUAGAUAUGACGAAGAACCCCGAUUGCGAAGGCAGCUUGCUGCAGCGGAACUGACGCUGAUGCUCGAAAGCGCGGGUAUCGAACAGGAUUAGAUACCCGGGUAGUC
This 460-nucleotide ribosomal RNA is filed under the name uncultured bacterium. RNAcentral's name for it is "partial 16S ribosomal RNA". It matches the Rfam family "Bacterial small subunit ribosomal RNA", at positions 338 to 795 of the family's 1533-position model. The record is from RNAcentral.